GGGGGUGAUGGGCUUCGAUAGAAGCAGAUGGUUAUAUUGGCAUAACGAGGCGGCUUUGGCCUCGCAAAUAGCAAAGCAACACAAUAAGUGCCAACUUAUUCUCAAAAGUUAAGGUAGCGUUCGCCAACAUGUUUGGCGUUCGCGCCUUGGCUCCGUCAUUCGCUUAAUUUGCGUUUGACCAUCGCCUUAGCUACGCCCGUCGGCUAAAAGCGGUGCCACUUCCGGGCUUACUCAAAAGUUAGGCCGCGCGCUUUUGAGAAAAUGGGGUCUGGCGACAGACCCAAAAUUCAGCGGCUAGCCGAAGAGAUUUUCGUUCGCUUUUAUCCCUUCGGUAAAAUACCAAGCCGAACUAAUUAUGUAGAAGGUAUAAUCAUGGCUCUCUAGACGCGAGUUCAACUCUCGCCACCUCCACGA
This 414-nucleotide transfer-messenger RNA is filed under the name Patescibacteria group. RNAcentral's name for it is "SCQK01 sp004321885 Standard tmRNA". It matches the Rfam family "transfer-messenger RNA". Rfam says of the family: Bacterial tmRNA, also known as 10Sa RNA or SsrA, is named for its dual tRNA and mRNA-like properties. Its role is to liberate the mRNA from a stalled ribosome. The record is from RNAcentral. RNAcentral also lists the same sequence under 1 other name.